CCGCUCCGAAUUGUAGUCUAGAAAGGCGCCAUCGGCCGCGCCCGCCGCUCAAAUCCCUUGGAACAGGGUAUCGGAGAAGGUGAGAAUCCUGUACCGUGGCGGUCCGCGGCCGCACGAUGCGCCCUUGCAGAGUCGGGUUGCUUGGGAUUGCAGCUUGAAUUGGGUGGUAAAUUCCAUCUAAAGCUAAAUAUUGCAGCGAGACCGAUAGCGAACAAGUACCGUGAGGGAAAGAUGCAAAGAACUUUGAAAAGAGAGUUAAAGAGUGCUUGAAACCAACAAGGGGAAACCCGGUUGCGCCCGGUGUCGUGUUGCAGACUCAGCCUUUACGGGUGCACUUCUGCGGCACGGGUCAGGCGCCUCUCUCCGGGAGGGAGAAUGGUCCGGUAGGCCUUCGGGGAUCCGGGCUGCUACCUCGCGGGGGGCGCCGCCUGACGCAACGGGCGCCACCGACCCGUCUAGAAACACGGACCAAGGAGUCUGACAUGGACGCGAGUACGCGGGCGUCAAACCUGUGUGCGCAAUGAAAGUGAAGGGCGUGCCCCGCCAACCGACCUUGAUCUGCUGUGAAGGGUUUGAGUGGAGCGUUCCUGUCGGGACCCGAAAGAUGGUGAACUAUGCCUGUAUAGGUUGAAGUCUGCUGAAAGGCAGAUGGAGGGCCGUAGCGAUACUGACGUGCAAAUCGUUCGUCUAAUAUGGGUAUAGGGGCGAAAGACUAAUCGAACCAUCUAGUAGCUGGUUCCCUCCGAAGUUUCCCUCAGGAUAGCUUGAACGCCGACGGUUUUGU
RNAcentral lists this ribosomal RNA (784 nucleotides) under Haptophyta environmental samples. RNAcentral describes it as "eukaryotic LSU rRNA". It matches the Rfam family "Eukaryotic large subunit ribosomal RNA", at positions 133 to 1004 of the family's 3401-position model. Lineage: Eukaryota; Haptophyta. The record is from RNAcentral.